This 539-nucleotide long non-coding RNA is filed under the name Vigna radiata. RNAcentral's name for it is "long non-coding RNA (VRAD_LNC018625)". The record is from RNAcentral. Lineage: Eukaryota; Viridiplantae; Streptophyta; Magnoliopsida; Fabales; Fabaceae.
AAGCCCUUACUUAGCCAAAUUUUCACCCAAAGAAUUUUAAAUGAUAUACCCUUUUUGAACCUUGACCUUAAACAGUAUGAAAACUCUUGUUUGAAUNGAUUUACCUUGAGUUAGGGUUGAGAAUAAUUAUAUGUAUUGAAAAGGUUCAAGUUUGGGGUUGUAUGGGGAAAGUGAAAGGCAAAAGAAAAAGGAAAGGAUUGAGUUCAAAAGAUGAAAAAGAAAAAUGCACGUGAAAGAAAAAAAAAGAAGAAAAGAGUUUAUGCAUGUAAAAAGAACUCAAUGUAAAAUGAAAAAGGGAAAAAGUUGGGAAUGAGUGAGAUUGGUUAAAAAAAAAAAACAGAGUGUGCUUGAACUUUGAAUGAUGAUUUAAACUCUCUUAACUCAAGGAUUUUGUAUUCCAGAAAAACCAAUGUUCUUGUCAGACCAGCCACAAUAUAAGAUUUGGCCCUUGUGAUGACAUUUGCAUGUAAAGAUGUUGAUUGGUUUAGAUGAAUGACAAUAUUGUUUUAUGUGACAUGUGAAUAGUAGAGAGUAGAGUG